This 1521-nucleotide ribosomal RNA is filed under the name metagenome. Its description in RNAcentral is "bacterial SSU rRNA". It matches the Rfam family "Bacterial small subunit ribosomal RNA". The record is from RNAcentral.
GAGUUUGAUCAUGGCUCAGAUUGAACGCUGGCGGCAGGCCUAACACAUGCAAGUCGAACGGUAACAGGAAACAGCUUGCUGUUUCGCUGACGAGUGGCGGACGGGUGAGUAAUGUCUGGGAAACUGCCUGAUGGAGGGGGAUAACUACUGGAAACGGUAGCUAAUACCGCAUAACGUCGCAAGACCAAAGAGGGGGACCUUCGGGCCUCUUGCCAUCAGAUGUGCCCAGAUGGGAUUAGCUAGUAGGUGGGGUAACGGCUCACCUAGGCGACGAUCCCUAGCUGGUCUGAGAGGAUGACCAGCCACACUGGAACUGAGACACGGUCCAGACUCCUACGGGAGGCAGCAGUGGGGAAUAUUGCACAAUGGGCGCAAGCCUGAUGCAGCCAUGCCGCGUGUAUGAAGAAGGCCUUCGGGUUGUAAAGUACUUUCAGCGGGGAGGAAGGGAGUAAAGUUAAUACCUUUGCUCAUUGACGUUACCCGCAGAAGAAGCACCGGCUAACUCCGUGCCAGCAGCCGCGGUAAUACGGAGGGUGCAAGCGUUAAUCGGAAUUACUGGGCGUAAAGCGCACGCAGGCGGUUUGUUAAGUCAGAUGUGAAAUCCCCGGGCUCAACCUGGGAACUGCAUCUGAUACUGGCAAGCUUGAGUCUCGUAGAGGGGGGUAGAAUUCCAGGUGUAGCGGUGAAAUGCGUAGAGAUCUGGAGGAAUACCGGUGGCGAAGGCGGCCCCCUGGACGAAGACUGACGCUCAGGUGCGAAAGCGUGGGGAGCAAACAGGAUUAGAUACCCUGGUAGUCCACGCCGUAAACGAUGUCGACUUGGAGGUUGUGCCCUUGAGGCGUGGCUUCCGGAGCUAACGCGUUAAGUCGACCGCCUGGGGAGUACGGCCGCAAGGUUAAAACUCAAAUGAAUUGACGGGGGCCCGCACAAGCGGUGGAGCAUGUGGUUUAAUUCGAUGCAACGCGAAGAACCUUACCUGGUCUUGACAUCCACGGAAGUUUUCAGAGAUGAGAAUGUGCCUUCGGGAACCGUGAGACAGGUGCUGCAUGGCUGUCGUCAGCUCGUGUUGUGAAAUGUUGGGUUAAGUCCCGCAACGAGCGCAACCCUUAUCCUUUGUUGCCAGCGGUCCGGCCGGGAACUCAAAGGAGACUGCCAGUGAUAAACUGGAGGAAGGUGGGGAUGACGUCAAGUCAUCAUGCCCCUUACGACCAGGGCUACACACGUGCUACAAUGGCGCAUACAAAGAGAAGCGACCUCGCGAGAGCAAGCGGACCUCAUAAAGUGCGUCGUAGUCCGGAUUGGAGUCUGCAACUCGACUCCAUGAAGUCGGAAUCGCUAGUAAUCGUGGAUCAGAAUGCCACGGUGAAUACGUUCCCGGGCCUUGUACACACCGCCCGUCACACCAUGGGAGUGGGUUGCAAAAGAAGUAGGUAGCCUAACCUUCGGGAGGGCGCUUACCACUUUGUGAUUCAUGACUGGGGUGAAGUCGAAACAGGGUAACCGUAGGGGAACCUGCGGUUG